RNAcentral lists this ribosomal RNA (445 nucleotides) under uncultured soil bacterium. RNAcentral's name for it is "bacterial SSU rRNA". It matches the Rfam family "Bacterial small subunit ribosomal RNA", at positions 26 to 518 of the family's 1533-position model. The record is from RNAcentral.
AGAACGAACGCUGGCGGCAUGCCUAACACAUGCAAGUCGAACGAGACCUUCGGGUCUAGUGGCGCACGGGUGCGUAACACGUGGGAAUCUGCCCUUGGGUUCGGAAUAACAGUUGGAAACGACUGCUAAUACCGGAUGAUGACGUAAGUCCAAAGAUUUAUCGCCCAAGGAUGAGCCCGCGUCGGAUUAGCUAGUUGGUGGGGUAAAGGCCUACCAAGGCGACGAUCCGUAGCUGGUCUGAGAGGAUGAUCAGCCACACUGGGACUGAGACACGGCCCAGACUCCUACGGGAGGCAGCAGUGGGGAAUAUUGGACAAUGGGCGAAAGCCUGAUCCAGCAAUGCCGCGUGAGUGAUGAAGGCCUUAGGUUGUAAAGCUCUUUACCCGGGAAGAUAAUGACUGUACCGGAGAAUAAGCCCCGGACUAACUCCGCGCCAGCACGCCGC